AUACGUAGGGAGCGAGCGUUGUCCGGAAUUACUGGGUGUAAAGGGAGCGUAGGCGGGACGGCAAGUCAGAUGUGAAAUACAUGGGCUCAACCCAUGGGCUGCAUUUGAACCUGCUGUUCUUGAGUGACGUAGAGGUAAGCGGAAUUCCUGGUGUAGCGUUGAAAUGCGUAGAUAUCAGGAGGAACACCGGUGGCGAAGGCGGCUUACUGGGCUUUUACUGACGCUGAGGCUCGAAAGCGUGGGGAGCAAACAGGAUUAGAUACCCUGGUAGUCCACGCUGUAAACGAUGAUCACUAGGUGUGGGGGGACUGACCCCUUCCGUGCCGCAGUUAACACAAUAAGUGAUCCACCUGGGGAGUACGGCCGCAAGGUUGAAACUCAAAUGAAUUGACGGGG
RNAcentral lists this ribosomal RNA (396 nucleotides) under uncultured bacterium. RNAcentral describes it as "partial 16S ribosomal RNA". It matches the Rfam family "Bacterial small subunit ribosomal RNA", at positions 523 to 918 of the family's 1533-position model. The record is from RNAcentral.